GAGGCGCCUCCGAUCGAUGCUAAAAUUUGCGAUCUCUUAUAUUGUAAAUGAUGAAAUUGUUUUAGAUUGAUCAAUUACAGACGUAAAGAUCUGCCAAAGUGUCAAAACAAUGCUGCCCAAGAACAGUCCAGCUAAACACAUUGUUUCCAGGCUUUCCCCACACCUACCAGCCUUCACCGAUAUCUUUGAUGAGGAAAGCUUCUAUAUCACUUUCUUUGUGUUGACUGUCUUAAGCUUUCUGGCAGUGUACUAUACAUCAAAAAGAGUUACUCUGAAAGACGCUGGACAUGUUGACUAAAACUUGUCACUUACAGUCUGUAUUUGUACUCGGACUUAAACCGUAAUAACAACUUACUUUUUUAAUAAUGUACAGAAACAUUGAUUUGUUGUAAAAAAAAAAAAAAGCAGAACUUUCAAAAUGUGUGCAAUAUUUAUGAGAUUCCCAAUAUUUUCUGCAUGUUUUUCAGUUUUUGGUGAUCAAAUAUGACUUGAUUGUUUUUUUUAUCCCUGUUUAUGUGUCUUUAUAUCCGAAGCUUUUCUUAGUAUACUACUCAUUUUUACCAAAGUUUAUUUCCAUUUAUUUUAUUUUUUUGCAAACUUAAGUAUAUGUGUGUGUUCUUGAUAAAAGAAAAAAUUAACUUAAUAAAUAUAUUGUUUUCCUAAA
Molecule: long non-coding RNA, 664 nt
Organism: Saccostrea echinata
Lineage: Eukaryota; Metazoa; Mollusca; Bivalvia; Ostreida; Ostreidae
Exons: 2
Source: RefSeq, a predicted model, not a curated record